Molecule: long non-coding RNA, 2031 nt
Filed under: Homo sapiens (human)
Lineage: Eukaryota; Metazoa; Chordata; Mammalia; Primates; Hominidae
Description: HSALNT0196729
Source: RNAcentral
CCCCCCCAGGCUCCUCCCAGAAAGAGCGCGAGGCGGAGGGGAGGGGCUGCACGUUCCUGGUGUUUGCCUAUUAGCGGGAACCAUCAGCGGACAAGACACCCCCGUUUCCUGGACUCCUAGGGGCAGAGCCCUGUGAGAGGAGGAGGCACCACCUCUUCACCUAUUCGCUGGACUUUGCCUAGUUCGGGCCGGGCAGGUCCGGGCAUCUCGGCCCCACAGGCUUCUAGGGAGGAGGAGGGGCACACUUCUUUGUGACGUUUACCAGAAAUGGGCGUGGCCAACGGAGAGACCUCUCCCACAAGGAGAUGAGGACACAGACAUGUACAGAGGAAAGACCAUGUGAAAACGCAGGGAGAAGACACCAUCUGCAAGCCAGGAUGAGGGGUCUCAGAAGAAAUCAACCCUGCCAACACCUGAGCUCACACUUCCAGCCUCCAGAACUGUGAGACAAUAAAUUUCUGUUGUUUUACUCAGUCUGUGGUCAUUUUUAAAUGGCAGCCCUAGCAAACUAAUACAGACAUCUUUUUAAAUAAGUAGGGAGAACACCCAAGGAAUGGGACGGUGCUGUCAAGAGGACAUGGAGAAGAAAACUCUUGAACCAAGGAGGACUUAGAAACACGGAGGAGGACCUGGAUGUGCCCCCAUUUAUGAUGGCGCUAGAGCCAGUGGCUUCUCUCUUGCUCGCUCUAGCUGUCUUUUCUUAAGCUCUGGGAAAGUGGUAUUUAGCUCUCAAUUUCCAGGGCUCUCAUUCUAUAUUUUGCCCCAGGGUUGUCACUAAAUCCAGUUUGGUCAGCAUUAGGUAAGUAGCUCUUUGGGUGACUGAGUGGGGUGGAGUGAUGUCCAAUAAACAUCAAGGCAUAAUGGGCAGAGCCACAGGAACCAGGACAUGGCAUGGAGCGAGCCGUGGCUGGUCCAGAGCAGGUGCAGGUUUGUGGUGGGGAGGUGUGUAUGUGCAGUGCUCAGCUUGCCACUACGAAAGCUCUUCACUUGAGCUACCAUGUGCAGACAUUGAAGAAAGGAGAGCUGAAAGACAUAGGGAGCAUCUGGCUUAUACCUAUGAACUUAUAAUUCCAUACAAUUUUUAUUUUACUUUUAAACCAACACCCCUCCCCUUUCUAAGAACCACUCUUGGUUAUCAAUGUGCUGGUUGUUAAUAUGAACCUUCUUCCAAUAACUGCAUGUAAUUAAAAAUAAUGAUCCAUUUCUUCAUGGAUGCUCUGUGUUAAAAUGUUAACAAAUUUCCCGUCAAAAUUUCUCCCCCUCCUACUUUUGCCUGAAAGAGAGAAAUUUCACAUAUUUUGGAACCUACGAAGGCUUUCCUUUUUUGGUAUCUGGAGUUUAGUCUUCCAUUGGCAAAAUCAUCUUAGUUAUUCUAGGACUAUCGCAUCUUCAAUUUUAGCCAUGGAGCUCAGCUUAGACGGUGCUUCCCAGAUUGUGGUGGUCCUAUCACUAGUGUCGUGUAAAGUCAUUUUAUAUGGGAAAAUAAAAACUAAAAUUUUGGUGAUGACUCACUUAUUUUAAAUGUUUUAAAAUUAUUUUCAAUACAUCAAAAUUAUUAUUUCAUGAAUUGCAGUUUAGCUAAGUUUAAGAAUCAAUGAAUUGAAUAAAAAAUUAAAUAAAAACAGUACAGGUGUAAAGAGCAAAUACAAUUUUAAAAUAAGAGACUGACUUCUCCCUGUUGAAAAUAAGAAAAAUAAAGAAAGAGAUACCUCCUUCCUUUUCUUAGAGCACUUUAGAGAUUUCCUAAUUGUAAUUGUUUUUCUCUGUCUCUUUGAAAUGUAUGUAAAUCUCUUUAAAAGCUAAAGAAGUCUUUUCCAGCUUUAUGACCAGGAAUGUCUUUUCUUAUGAACCUGGGACUCAUCCUUUUGGAAUAUCGUUUACAAGGAAGAUGGCUGCCCUCUCUCCCAGCUUCUGUGAAAAGAAUGCACCUGCCUGAGGGUGGGGACCAUAUCUGUUUUGUUCACCUCAACAAUCCCGGUAUCUGCAAGAGUGCUGACACAUAGGAGCUUCUCAAAAACAAUUCGUAAAUGA